Molecule: ribosomal RNA, 141 nt
Filed under: uncultured eukaryote
Lineage: Eukaryota
Description: partial 18S ribosomal RNA
Rfam family: Eukaryotic small subunit ribosomal RNA
Source: RNAcentral
UGGUGGAGUGAUUUGUCUGGUUAAUUCCGUUAACGAACGAGACCUCGACCUGCUAAAUAGUUCGGCGAACUCUCUGAGUUCGUACGUGACUUCUUAGAGGGACUAUCGGUGUGUAGCCGAUGGAAGUUCGAGGCAAUAACA